This 62-nucleotide transfer RNA is filed under the name Alicella gigantea. RNAcentral's name for it is "tRNA-Glu". The record is from RNAcentral. Lineage: Eukaryota; Metazoa; Arthropoda; Malacostraca; Amphipoda; Alicellidae.
AUCUUUAUAGUGUAAAAAACACAUAGUCCUUUCAAGACUAAGCUAAACUCUAUUUAAAGACA